Small nucleolar RNA from Sorex araneus (European shrew), 133 nucleotides. RefSeq annotates it as small nucleolar RNA SNORA58. The record is from RefSeq and is a predicted model, not a curated record. NCBI's taxonomy places the organism in Eukaryota, Metazoa, Chordata, Mammalia, Eulipotyphla, Soricidae. The transcript has a single exon.
GGGCAUACCCGUAGACCUUGCCUGUCUCAGCUCGUGGAUAGGCAAGGGGGACAGUGUAUGCGAGAGUAACGGAGUCCGUGCCAGCUCUAGUCAGCUUCAGGAUGGCUGACGAAACUGCAGUACUCCUACAUUA